Molecule: ribosomal RNA, 440 nt
Filed under: uncultured bacterium
Lineage: Bacteria
Description: partial 16S ribosomal RNA
Rfam family: Bacterial small subunit ribosomal RNA
Source: RNAcentral
CCUACGGGAGGCAGCAGUGGGGAAUAUUGCACAAUGGGGGAAACCCUGAUGCAGCGACGCCGCGUGAGUGAAGAAGUAAUUCGUUAUGUAAAGCUCUAUCAGCAGGGAAGAAAAUGACGGUACCUGAGUAAGAAGCCCCGGCUAACUACGGUCCAGCAGCCGCGGGAAUAAGUAGGGGGCAAGCGUUAUCCGGAUUUACUGGGUGUAAAGGGAGCGUAGACGGGAGGGCAAGGCUGGAGUGAAAGGCGGGGGCUCAAACCCCGGACUGCGCUGGAAACUGUACGGCUGGAGUGAAGGAGAGGUAAGUGGAAUUCCUAGUGUAGCGGUGAAAGGCGUAGAUAUUAGGAGGAACACCAGUGGCGAAGGCGGCUUACUGGACUGUAACUGACGUUGAGGCUCGAAAGCGUGGGGAGCAAACAGGAUUAGAUACCCUAGUAGUC